RNAcentral lists this transfer RNA (76 nucleotides) under Clostridiaceae bacterium. RNAcentral describes it as "tRNA-Ala". It matches the Rfam family "tRNA". Rfam says of the family: Transfer RNA (tRNA) molecules are approximately 80 nucleotides in length. Their secondary structure includes four short double-helical elements and three loops (D, anti-codon, and T loops). Further hydrogen bonds mediate the characteristic L-shaped molecular structure. tRNAs have two regions of fundamental functional importance: the anti-codon, which is responsible for specific mRNA codon recognition, and the 3' end, to which the tRNAs corresponding amino acid is attached (by aminoacyl-tRNA synthetases). tRNAs cope with the degeneracy of the genetic code in two manners: having more than one tRNA (with a specific anti-codon) for a particular amino acid; and 'wobble' base-pairing, i.e. permitting non-standard base-pairing at the 3rd anti-codon position. Lineage: Bacteria; Bacillati; Bacillota; Clostridia; Eubacteriales; Clostridiaceae. The record is from RNAcentral.
GGGGCUAUAGCGCAGCUGGGAGCGUAUCACACUGGCAGUGUGGGGGUCAGGGGUUCGAACCCCCUUAGCUCCACCA